This 347-nucleotide ribosomal RNA is filed under the name uncultured Anaerolineaceae bacterium. RNAcentral describes it as "bacterial SSU rRNA". It matches the Rfam family "Bacterial small subunit ribosomal RNA", at positions 1023 to 1382 of the family's 1533-position model. Lineage: Bacteria; Bacillati; Chloroflexota; Anaerolineae; Anaerolineales; Anaerolineaceae. The record is from RNAcentral.
GGGGAGCUUGCACAGGUGCUGCAUGGCUGUCGUCAGCUCGUGUCGUGAGAUGUUCGGUUAAGUCCGCUAACGAGCGCAACCCUCGCUGUGUGUUACAAGUGUCACACGGAACUGCCGGUCAUAAACCGGAGGAAGGUGGGGAUGACGUCAAGUCAGCAUGGCCUUUAUAUCCUGGGCUACACACACGCUACAAUGGGAAGGGACAAUAGGUUGCGAAGCCGCGAGGCGGAGCCAAUCCAGCAAAACUUCCCUCAGUUCAGAUUGCAGGCUGCAACCCGCCUGCAUGAAGUUGGAGUUGCUAGUAAACGCAGGUCAGCCAUACUGCGUUGAAUACGUUCCCGGGGCUU